Megalops atlanticus (tarpon) is the source of this 73-nucleotide non-coding RNA. NCBI's taxonomy places the organism in Eukaryota, Metazoa, Chordata, Actinopteri, Elopiformes, Megalopidae. The record is from the annotation of a GenBank genome assembly.
UGCAGUGUGGUGUAGUGGUAAAGAGCAGGGCUCGUAACCAAAAGGUUGUUGGUUCGAUUCCCUGCUGUUGUAC